GAAGGUUUCCUCCUGAGUCAGGCAGAGGAGAGGAAGCAGGCAGAGCAGCAGAGGAAGGAUCUUUUGGCAGAAAUGGGUCUUGAUUCUUCUGAGGCAGAGAAGACUCCGCUGGACGCCAGAGUGAGGCCUCUGGGUGACGGAAUGAUGCCACCAAGACGUGCUCCUUCAUCUUUUCAUGGUGGUGGAGGGGAGGCAGCAGCU
Non-coding RNA from Podarcis muralis (Common wall lizard), 201 nucleotides. The record is from RefSeq and is a predicted model, not a curated record. NCBI's taxonomy places the organism in Eukaryota, Metazoa, Chordata, Lepidosauria, Squamata, Lacertidae.